RNAcentral lists this ribosomal RNA (274 nucleotides) under uncultured bacterium. RNAcentral describes it as "partial 16S ribosomal RNA". It matches the Rfam family "Bacterial small subunit ribosomal RNA", at positions 523 to 796 of the family's 1533-position model. The record is from RNAcentral.
AUACGGAGGGUGCAAGCGUUGUUCGGAAUUACUGGGCGUAAAGCGCGCGUAGGCGGUCUGUUAUGUCAGAUGUGAAAGUCCUCGGCUCAACCGGGGAAGUGCAUUUGAGACUGGCAGACUUGAGUACUGGAGGGGGUGGUGGAAUUCCCGGUGUAGAGGUGAAAUUCGUAGAUAUCGGGAGGAGUACCGGUGGCGAAGGCGACCACCUGGCCAGAUACUGACGCUGAGGUGCGAAAGCGUGGGGAGCAAACAGGAUUAGAAACCCUAGUAGUCC